RNAcentral lists this long non-coding RNA (534 nucleotides) under Prunus dulcis (almond). Its description in RNAcentral is "sRNA ncRNA". Lineage: Eukaryota; Viridiplantae; Streptophyta; Magnoliopsida; Rosales; Rosaceae. The record is from RNAcentral.
AAGCUACACUACUCAUCCAAACGCGGUCAAUAUCAAAAGGAUAAUUAUAUUCUUGAUCAUGAUCAUGAUCACCGGCCUGAGAUGAAUAGUUUGCCAGCAGCAGCUCCAGCUCCUUCACCUUGGUGGUUGGUACCAUUACCGGUCCACUGCAUAGCUGAAUCCGUGAAGAACCAACUGCCAGUGGUGCAAUACUGGGACUUCCUCAAGAUCAAAACAGGCCAACCAGAAGCAGAAGCAGAAGAUGACUCCAAUACCAAUGAUCAUAUGUGUAUUGUGUGCAUGAAUAGCAUGGAAGGUAGCCAAGGGGUCAGAAAACUCUGCAAUUGUUCACAUGCUUUUCACAAAGAGUGCUUAGAUGUUUGGAUCGACGAGGGUCACCUCACAUGUCCUCUCUGUAGAUCUGACCUAUUGCCUAAUUCCACUCCAAAAUCAAAUCAUCAUCAUCACCAUAAGGAGAUGGGAGAAUUUAUUAGAGAGGAUCGAUGGAGGGCCGAGAGGAUGAUUUACUUGUUUGGUGAGGAUGAGCUUGCCUAA